This 462-nucleotide ribosomal RNA is filed under the name Bacteroidetes bacterium BAL84. RNAcentral describes it as "bacterial SSU rRNA". It matches the Rfam family "Bacterial small subunit ribosomal RNA", at positions 32 to 495 of the family's 1533-position model. Lineage: Bacteria; Pseudomonadati; Bacteroidota. The record is from RNAcentral.
AACGCUAGCGGCAGGCCUAACACAUGCAAGUCGAGGGGUAUAGUUCUUCGGAACUAGAGACCGGCGCACGGGUGCGUAACGCGUAUGCAAUCUACCUUGUUCAGAGGGAUAGCCCAGAGAAAUUUGGAUUAAUACCUCAUAGUGUUAUUGAAUGGCAUCAUUUAAUAACUAAAGUUCUAACGGUACAAGAUGAGCAUGCGUCCCAUUAGUUAGUUGGUAAGGUAACGGCUUACCAAGACAAUGAUGGGUAGGGGUCCUGAGAGGGAGAUCCCCCACACUGGUACUGAGACACGGACCAGACUCCUACGGGAGGCAGCAGUGAGGAAUAUUGGACAAUGGGCGCAAGCCUGAUCCAGCCAUGCCGCGUGCAGGAUGACUGCCCUAUGGGUUGUAAACUGCUUUUAUACAGGAAGAAACACUGCUACGUGUAGCAGCUUGACGGUACUGUAGGAAUAAGGAUCG